GAUGAACGCUGGCGGCGUGCCUAAUACAUGCAAGUCGAGCGAACAGAUGAGGAGCUUGCUCCUCUGACGUUAGCGGCGGACGGGUGAGUAACACGUGGAUAACCUACCUAUAAGACUGGGAUAACUUCGGGACACCGGAGCUAAUACCGGAUAAUAUAUUGCACCGCAUGGUUCAAUAGUGAAAGACGGUUUUGCUGUCACUUAUAGAUGGAUCCGCGCCGCAUUAGCUAGUUGGUAAGGUAACGGCUUACCAAGGCAACGAUGCGUAGACGACCUGAGAGGGUGAUCGGCCACACUGGAACUGAGACACGGUCCAGACUCCUACGGGAGGCAGCAGUAGGGAAUCUUCCGCAAUGGGCGAAAGCCUGACGGAGCAACGCCGCGUGAGUGAUGAAGGUCUUCGGAUCGUAAAACUCUGUUAUUAGGGAAGAACAAAUGUGUAAGUAACUAUGCACGUCUUGACGGUACCUAAUCAGAAAGCCACGGCUAACUACGUG
This 497-nucleotide ribosomal RNA is filed under the name uncultured bacterium. Its description in RNAcentral is "partial 16S ribosomal RNA". It matches the Rfam family "Bacterial small subunit ribosomal RNA", at positions 28 to 507 of the family's 1533-position model. The record is from RNAcentral.